CUUUCUCAGAUGAUGAAAUAUUUUGGAUGUAAAUCAAACACUACCGAUGGCGCAAAACCAUGUGGAAACUUUCCUUGUUGCCUUCCUUCUGAUCCAUGAGA
RNAcentral lists this small nucleolar RNA (101 nucleotides) under Zymoseptoria tritici IPO323. RNAcentral's name for it is "Zymoseptoria tritici small nucleolar RNA Z13/snr52". It matches the Rfam family "Small nucleolar RNA Z13/snr52". From Rfam's summary of the family: Z13 or snr52 is a member of the C/D class of snoRNA which contain the C (UGAUGA) and D (CUGA) box motifs. Most of the members of the box C/D family function in directing site-specific 2'-O-methylation of substrate RNAs. The record is from Rfam by way of RNAcentral. Lineage: Eukaryota; Fungi; Ascomycota; Dothideomycetes; Mycosphaerellales; Mycosphaerellaceae.